RNAcentral lists this ribosomal RNA (423 nucleotides) under uncultured Glomeromycotina. Its description in RNAcentral is "SSU rRNA". It matches the Rfam family "Eukaryotic small subunit ribosomal RNA", at positions 671 to 1092 of the family's 1831-position model. Lineage: Eukaryota; Fungi; Glomeromycota. The record is from RNAcentral.
CGGUACGUACUGGCAUCGUCGGUUUCUCCCUUCUGACGAACCAUGAUGUCAUUUAUUUGGUGUUGUGGGGAAUCAGGACUGUUACUUUGAAAAAAUUAGAGUGUUUAAAGCAGGCUCACGCUUGAAUACAUUAGCAUGGAAUAAUGAAAUAGGACGUUUGAUUCUAUUUUGUUGGUUUCUAGGAUCGACGUAAUGAUUAAUAGGGAUAGUUGGGGGCAUUAGUAUUCAAUUGUCAGAGGUGAAAUUCUUGGAUUUAUUGAAGACUAACUACUGCGAAAGCAUUUGCCAAGGAUGUUUUCAUUAAUCAAGAACGAAAGUUAGGGGAUCGAAGACGAUCAGAUACCGUCGUAGUCUUAACCAUAAACUAUGCCGACUAGGGAUCGGAUGAUGUUAAUUUUUUAAUGACUCAUUCGGCGCCUUACG